AGUGAACGCUGGCGGUAGGCCUAACACAUGCAAGUCGAACGGCAGCACAGUAAGAGCUUGCUCUUACGGGUGGCGAGUGGCGGACGGGUGAGGAAUACAUCGGAAUCUACUUUUUCGUGGGGGAUAACGUAGGGAAACUUACGCUAAUACCGCAUACGACCUACGGGUGAAAGCAGGGGAGCUUCGGACCUUGCGCGAUUGAAUGAGCCGAUGUCGGAUUAGCUAGUUGGCGGGGUAAAGGCCCACCAAGGCGACGAUCCGUAGCUGGCCUGAGAGGAUGAUCAGCCACACUGGAACUGAGACACGGUCCAGACUCCUACGGGAGGCAGCAGUGGGGAAUCUUCGACAAUGGGCGCAAGCCUGACGCAGCAACGCCGCGUGGGUGAAGAAGGUCUUCGGGUCGUAAAGCUCUUUUGUUGGGAAAGAACAGCAGCAUGUUAAUCCCUGGCCGUUCUGACGGUACCCAAAGAAUAAGCAACGGCUAACUUCGUG
This 492-nucleotide ribosomal RNA is filed under the name uncultured bacterium. RNAcentral describes it as "partial 16S ribosomal RNA". It matches the Rfam family "Bacterial small subunit ribosomal RNA", at positions 29 to 507 of the family's 1533-position model. The record is from RNAcentral.